Molecule: ribosomal RNA, 446 nt
Filed under: uncultured bacterium
Lineage: Bacteria
Description: bacterial SSU rRNA
Rfam family: Bacterial small subunit ribosomal RNA
Source: RNAcentral
UCCAGACUCCUACGGGAGGCAGCAGUCGGGAAUAUUGCACAAUGGAGGAAACUCUGAUGCAGUGACGCCGCGUGCAGGAAGAAGGUUUUCGGAUUGUAAACUGCUUUAGACAGGGAAGAAACAAGACAGUACCUGUAGAAUAAGCUCCGGCUAACUACGUGCCAGCAGCCGCGGUAAUACGUAGGGAGCAAGCGUUAUCCGGAUUUAUUGGGUGUAAAGGGUGCGUAGACGGGAAAACAAGUUAGUUGUGAAAUCCCUCGGCUUAACUGAGGAACUGCAACUAAAACUAUUUUUCUUGAGUGUUGGAGAGGAAAGUGGAAUUCCUAGUGUAGCGGUGAAAUGCGUAGAUAUUAGGAGGAACACCAGUGGCGAAGGCGACUUUCUGGACAAUAACUGACGUUGAGGCACGAAAGUGUGGGGAGCAAACAGGAUUAGAUACCCCUGUA